GUGCAAAUGAUGUGAAGUUUAUAUUGACUGACUACUUAUGAUGAACUCAAAGGAACCACUGAUGCCA
Molecule: small nucleolar RNA, 67 nt
Gene: SNORD42
Rfam family: Small nucleolar RNA SNORD42
About the family: snoRNA U42 is found in intron 3 of the ribosomal protein L23a (RPL23a) gene in humans and is also present in mice. U42 is a member of the C/D class of snoRNA which contain C (UGAUGA) and D (CUGA) box motifs.
Source: Ensembl